ACACGGCGUAAAGGGUGGUUAAAAUUCUUUAAAACUAAAGCCGAACACUUUCAUAACUGUUAUACGUUCUCGAGAGUAAGAAGCCCUACUACGAAAGUAGCUUUAAACUCUUUGACCCCACGAAAGCUGUGGAACAAACUGGGAUUAGAUACCCCACUAUGCCCAGCCCUAAACCUAGGCAGAUAUUUUACACUCUGCCCGCCCGGGUACUACGAGCACUAGCUUAAAACCCAAAGGACUUGGCGGUGCUUAAGAUCCCCCUAGAGGAGCCUGUUCUAGAACCGAUAACCCCCGUUAAACCUCACCUUUUCUUGUUAUUUCCGCCUAUAUACCGCCGUCGUCAGCUUACCCUGUGAAGGCUCAACAGUAAGCAAAACCAGCC
RNAcentral lists this ribosomal RNA (382 nucleotides) under Brockius striatus (green blenny). Its description in RNAcentral is "partial 12S ribosomal RNA". It matches the Rfam family "Bacterial small subunit ribosomal RNA", at positions 553 to 1107 of the family's 1533-position model. Lineage: Eukaryota; Metazoa; Chordata; Actinopteri; Blenniiformes; Labrisomidae. The record is from RNAcentral.